CCUACGGGUGGCAGCAGUGAGGAAUAUUGGUCAAUGGGCUUACGCCUGAACCAGCCAAGUCGCGUGAGGGAAGACUGCCCUAUGGGUUGUAAACCUCUUUUGUCAGGGAGCAAUUGGCGCUACGUGUAGCGUUAUCGAGAGUACCUGAAGAAAAAGCAUCGGCUAACUCCGUGCCAGCAGCCGCGGUAAUACGGAGGAUGCGAGCGUUAUCCAGAUGUAUUGGGUUAAAAGGGUGCGUAGGCGGAAUGUCAAGUCAGCGGUAAAAUCGCGGGGCUCAACGGCGCUGCGCAUUUGAAACUGGUGUUCUUGAGUGGGCGAGAAGAAUGCGGAAGGCGAGGUGUAGCGGGGAAAUGCAUAGAUAUAACGAAGAACUCCGAUGGCGAAGGCAGCACCCCG
Molecule: ribosomal RNA, 396 nt
Filed under: uncultured bacterium
Lineage: Bacteria
Description: partial 16S ribosomal RNA
Rfam family: Bacterial small subunit ribosomal RNA
Source: RNAcentral